GAGGAGAAAGAGGAGGCGGGAGAGAGUGUGGAGGACAUUUUCUCAGAGGUCGUGGGCCGGAAGCGACAGCGGUCAGGACCCAACAGGGGAGCCAAGAGGCGGAGGGAGGAGGCCCGGCAGCGGGACCAGGAAUUCUACAUCCCCUACCGGCCCAAGGACUUUGACAGCGAGCGGGGCCUGAGCAUCAGCGGGGAAGGGGGAGCCUUCGAGCAGCAGGCGGCUGGCGCUGUCCUGGACCUGAUGGGGGAUGAAGCCCAGAACCUGAUGAGGGGCCAGCAGCAGCUCAAGUGGUGAGUGAUCGAGUGAGCCGCCCCUCCAUG
RNAcentral lists this small RNA (320 nucleotides) under Pongo abelii (Sumatran orangutan). RNAcentral's name for it is "retained intron". Lineage: Eukaryota; Metazoa; Chordata; Mammalia; Primates; Hominidae. The record is from RNAcentral.